Molecule: unclassified non-coding RNA, 384 nt
Filed under: soil metagenome
Description: partial contains 5.8S ribosomal RNA, internal transcribed spacer 2, and large subunit ribosomal RNA
Rfam family: 5.8S ribosomal RNA (bases 1-120)
Source: RNAcentral
GAUGAAGAACGUAGUGAAAUGCGAUAAGUAAUGUGAAUUGCAGAAUUCAGUGAAUCAUCGAAUCUUUGAACGCACCUUGCACCCUUUGGCAUUCCGAAGGGUAUGCUCGUUUGAGUGUCAUUGUACUCUCACUCUCCCGAUGCUUUUGGAUCGGGAGUGGUGGACUUGGGUGUUGCUGCUUUGCUGUGGCUCGCCUCAAAUGGAGUAGUGCAACUCCUGGUUGGACAUAGUACGGCGUGAUAAGUGUCUUCGCCGGCGCCUCAUUAUAGAGGGUGGCCGAUCGGGAGCUCUGUGCUUCAAACCGUCUUCGGACAACAUCUGACAACUUGACCUCAAAUCGAGUAGGACUACCCGCUGAACUUAAGCAUAUCAAUAAGCGGAGGA